RNAcentral lists this ribosomal RNA (497 nucleotides) under uncultured bacterium. RNAcentral's name for it is "partial 16S ribosomal RNA". It matches the Rfam family "Bacterial small subunit ribosomal RNA", at positions 28 to 507 of the family's 1533-position model. The record is from RNAcentral.
GAUGAACGCUGGCGGCGUGCCUAAUACAUGCAAGUCGAGCGAACAGACGAUGAGCUUGCUCCUCUGACGUUAGCGGCGGACGGGUGAGUAACACGUGGAUAACCCACCUUUAAGACUGGGAUAACUUCGUGAAACCGGAGCUAAUUCCGUAUAAUAUCUUGAACCGCAUGGUUCAAUAGUUAAAGCCGGUUUUGCUGUCACUUAUAGCUGGAUCCGGGCUGCUUUAGCUAGUUGGUAAGGUAACGGCUUACCAAGGCAACGCUGCGUAGCCGACCUGAGAGGGUGAACGGCGACACUGGAACUGAGAGACGGUCCAGGCACCUACGGGAGGCAGAGGUAGGGACUCUUCGGAGAUGGGCGAAAGCCUGAACGAGCAACGCAGCGUUGGUGAUGAAGGGCUUCGGAUCGUAAAACUCUGUUAUUAGGGAAGAACGAAUGUGGAAGUAACUAUGCACGUCUUGACGGUACCUAAACAAGAAGCAACGGCUAACUACGUG